GGCUGGUAGCUCAAUGGUAGAGCACUUGCCUAGCAUAUGUGAGGCACUGAGUUCAAUCCUCAGCACCA
Molecule: transfer RNA, 68 nt
Filed under: Marmota monax (woodchuck)
Lineage: Eukaryota; Metazoa; Chordata; Mammalia; Rodentia; Sciuridae
Description: tRNA.Ala
Source: RNAcentral